UACGUAGGUGGCAAGCGUUAUCCGGAAUUAUUGGGCGUAAAGAGUGAGUAGGCGGUCGAUAAAGUCUGUAGUUAAAAGCAGUUGCCCAACAACUGUAUGCUUCAGAAACUAAUCAACUAGAGUGCAGGAGAGGUAAACGGAAUUCCAUGUGUAGCGGUGAAAUGCGUAGAUAUAUGGAGGAACACCAGUGGCGAAGGCGGUUUACUGGCCUGUAACUGACGCUCAGUCACGAAAGCGUGGGGAGCAAAUAGGAUUAGAUACCCUAGUAGUCCACGCCGUAAACAAUGAAUACUAAGUGUUGGAGGAAUCCAGUGCUGAAGUUAACACAUUAAGUAUUCCGCCUGAGAAGUACGUUCGCAAGAAUGAA
This 367-nucleotide ribosomal RNA is filed under the name uncultured bacterium. RNAcentral describes it as "bacterial SSU rRNA". It matches the Rfam family "Bacterial small subunit ribosomal RNA", at positions 524 to 898 of the family's 1533-position model. The record is from RNAcentral.